UGUGGGUGGCGAGUGGCGGACGGGUGAGUAAUGCAUCGGGACCUGCCCAGACGUGGGGGAUAACGUAGGGAAACUUACGCUAAUACCGCAUACGUCCUACGGGAGAAAGCGGGGGAUCGAAAGACCUCGCGCGGUUGGAUGGACCGAUGUUCGAUUAGCUAGUUGGUGAGGUAAUGGCUCACCAAGGCGACGAUCGAUAGCUGGUCUGAGAGGAUGAUCAGCCACACUGGGACUGAGACACGGCCCAGACUCCUACGGGAGGCAGCAGUGGGGAAUAUUGGACAAUGGGCGAAAGCCUGAUCCAGCAAUGCCGCGUGUGUGAAGAAGGCCUUCGGGUUGUAAAGCACUUUUAUCAGGAGCGAAAUACUGCCGGCUAAUACCCGGCGGGGCUGACGGUACCUGAGGAAUAAGCACCGGCUAACUUCGUGCCAGCAGCCGCGGUAAUACGAAGGGUGCAAGCGUUAAUCGGAAUUACUGGGCGUAAAGCGUGCGUAGGCGGUUCUUUAAGUCUGCUGUGAAAUCCCCGGGCUCAACCUGGGAAUGGCAGUGGAUACUGGAGAGCUAGAGUGUGAUAGAGGAUGGUGGAAUUCCCGGUGUAGCGGUGAAAUGCGUAGAGAUCGGGAGGAACAUCAGUGGCGAAGGCGGCCAUCUGGAUCAACACUGACGCUGAGGCACGAAAGCGUGGGGAGCAAACAGGAUUAGAUACCCCUGGUAGUCCACGCCCUAAACGAUGCGAACUGGUAUGUUGGUCUCAACUCGGAGAUCAGUGUCGAAGCCUUAACGCGUUAAGCUUCGCCGUCCU
This 802-nucleotide ribosomal RNA is filed under the name Dyella sp. RNAcentral's name for it is "bacterial SSU rRNA". It matches the Rfam family "Bacterial small subunit ribosomal RNA", at positions 83 to 873 of the family's 1533-position model. Lineage: Bacteria; Pseudomonadati; Pseudomonadota; Gammaproteobacteria; Lysobacterales; Rhodanobacteraceae. The record is from RNAcentral.